GGAAACCUCACCCGGCCCGGACACCGCGAGGAUUGACAGACUGAGAGCUCUUUCUCGAUUCGGUGGGUGGUGGUGCAUGGCCGUUCUUAGUUGGUGGAGCGAUCUGUCUGGUUAAUUCCGAUAACGAACGAGACCCCAUCCUGCUAACUAGCCCUCGGGUCCGGCUUCUGGCGGGCCCGACGGAAUGACUCGCUUCUUAGAGGGACUCGCGGCGCCUAGCCGCACGAAGGGGGGCGAUAA
Molecule: ribosomal RNA, 240 nt
Filed under: uncultured eukaryote
Lineage: Eukaryota
Description: partial small subunit ribosomal RNA
Rfam family: Eukaryotic small subunit ribosomal RNA
Source: RNAcentral